UUGACCUCGGAUCAGGUAGGGAUACCCGCUGAACUUAAGCAUAUCAAUAAGCGGAGGAAAAGAAACCAACCGGGAUUGCCUCAGUAACGGCGAGUGAAGCGGCAAGAGCUCAAAUUUGAAAUCUGGCCCCUCCGGGGUCCGAGUUGUAAUUUGCAGAGGAUGCUUCGGGUGCGGCCCCUGUCUAAGUGCCCUGGAACGGGCCGUCAGAGAGGGUGAGAAUCCCGUCUUGGGCAGGGUGCCCGUGCCCGUGUGAAGCUCCUUCGACGAGUCGAGUUGUUUGGGAAUGCAGCUCUAAAUGGGUGGUAAAUUUCAUCUAAAGCUAAAUACCGGCCGGAGACCGAUAGCGCACAAGUAGAGUGAUCGAAAGAUGAAAAGCACUUUGAAAAGAGAGUUAAACAGCACGUGAAAUUGUUGAAAGGGAAGCGCUUGCGACCAGACUCGGCCCCGGGGUUCAGCCAGCACUCGUGCUGGUGUACUUCCCCGGGGGCGGGCCAGCGUCGGUUUGGGCGGCCGGUCAAAGGCCCCAGGAAUGUAUCAUCCUCCGGGAUUGUCUUAUAGCCUGGGGUGCAAUGCGGCCAGCCCGGACCGAGGAACGCGCUUCGGCACGGACGCUGGCGUAAUGGUCGCAAACGACC
RNAcentral lists this ribosomal RNA (635 nucleotides) under Aspergillus caespitosus. RNAcentral's name for it is "eukaryotic LSU rRNA". It matches the Rfam family "Eukaryotic large subunit ribosomal RNA", at positions 1 to 649 of the family's 3401-position model. The record is from RNAcentral. Lineage: Eukaryota; Fungi; Ascomycota; Eurotiomycetes; Eurotiales; Aspergillaceae.